CCACGACGUGCUCCGCUUCGGCGUCAACGACAGCGUAAGGGGCGACCUCGCGCCGCCGCACCCCGUCCAGGCCACCAUCCAUAAGGAGACCAAGUUCUGGGACGAGAAGAGGAGGUUCGGGACCGAGGCCAUCUACGGGUCCGCCUUCAACAUCCGCAAGGAUCUGGACGCCCAAAUCCUCUCCAGGCACACUGCAAUUCGUACCGAUUGGGGUUGUCGUAGG
Hordeum vulgare subsp. vulgare (domesticated barley) is the source of this 223-nucleotide long non-coding RNA. RefSeq lists it as uncharacterized. The transcript is spliced from 3 exons. Lineage: Eukaryota; Viridiplantae; Streptophyta; Magnoliopsida; Poales; Poaceae. The record is from RefSeq and is a predicted model, not a curated record.